AGCGAACGUUAGCGGCGGGCUUAACACAUGCAAGUCGAGCGAGAAAGGGGCUUCGGCCCUGAGUAAAGCGGCGGACGGGUGAGUAACACGUAGGUAAUCUUCCCUUGAGCGGGGGACAACGAUUCGAAAGGAUCGCUAAUACCGCAUAAGUUUCCAGAGACUCUGGUCUUUGGAAGGAAAGCUAGGCAGCAAUGUCCGGCACUCGAGGAGGAGCCUGCGUCGCAUCAGCUAGUUGGUGGGGUAACGGCCUACCAAGGCGAAGACGCGUAGCUGGUCUGAGAGGAUGAUCAGCCACACUGGGACUGAGACACGGCCCAGACUCCUACGGGAGGCAGCAGUGGGGAAUUUUGCGCAAUGGGGAAACCCUGACGCAGCAACGCCGCGUGGAGGAUGAAGUCCCGUUGGGACGUAAACUCCUUUCGACCGGGAAGAUUAUGACGGUACCGGUGGAAGAAGCCCCGGCUAACUUCGUGCCAGCAGCCGCAGUAAG
RNAcentral lists this ribosomal RNA (490 nucleotides) under uncultured bacterium. Its description in RNAcentral is "bacterial SSU rRNA". It matches the Rfam family "Bacterial small subunit ribosomal RNA", at positions 29 to 524 of the family's 1533-position model. The record is from RNAcentral.